RNAcentral lists this ribosomal RNA (1172 nucleotides) under uncultured Bacteroides sp. RNAcentral describes it as "bacterial SSU rRNA". It matches the Rfam family "Bacterial small subunit ribosomal RNA", at positions 10 to 1176 of the family's 1533-position model. The record is from RNAcentral. Lineage: Bacteria; Pseudomonadati; Bacteroidota; Bacteroidia; Bacteroidales; Bacteroidaceae.
AGUUUGAUCCUGGCUCAGGAUGAACGCUAGCUACAGGCUUAACACAUGCAAGUCGAGGGGCAUCAGGAAGAAAGCUUGCUUUCUUUGCUGGCGACCGGCGCACGGGUGAGUAACACGUAUCCAACCUGCCCUUUACUCGGGGAUAGCCUUUCGAAAGAAAGAUUAAUACCCGAUGGCAUAAUGAUUCCGCAUGGUUUCAUUAUUAAAGGAUUCCGGUAAGGGAUGGGGAUGCGUUCCAUUAGGUUGUUGGUGAGGUAACGGCUCACCAAGCCUUCGAUGGAUAGGGGUUCUGAGAGGAAGGUCCCCCACAUUGGAACUGAGACACGGUCCAAACUCCUACGGGAGGUAGCAGUGAGGAAUAUUGGUCAAUGGGCGCUAGCCUGAACCAGCCAAGUAGCGUGAAGGAUGAAGGCUCUAUGGGUCGUAAACUUCUUUUAUAUAAGAAUAAAGUGCAGUAUGUAUACUGUUUUGUAUGUAUUAUAUGAAUAAGGAUCGGCUAACUCCGUGCCAGCAGCCGCGGUAAUACGGAGGAUCCGAGCGUUAUCCGGAUUUAUUGGGUUUAAAGGGAGCGUAGGUGGACUGGUAAGUCAGUUGUGAAAGUUUGCGGCUCAACCGUAAAAUUGCAGUUGAUACUGUCAGUCUUGAGUACAGUAGAGGUGGGCGGAAUUCGUGGUGUAGCGGUGAAAUGCUUAGAUAUCACGAAGAACUCCGAUUGCGAAGGCAGCUCACUGGACUGCAACUGACACUGAUGCUCGAAAGUGUGGGUAUCAAACAGGAUUAGAUACCCUGGUAGUCCACACAGUAAACGAUGAAUACUCGCUGUUUGCGAUAUACAGUAAGCGGCCAAGCGAAAGCAUUAAGUAUUCCACCUGGGGAGUACGCCGGCAACGGUGAAACUCAAAGGAAUUGACGGGGGCCCGCACAAGCGGAGGAACAUGUGGUUUAAUUCGAUGAUACGCGAGGAACCUUACCCGGGCUUAAAUUGCAGUGGAAUGAUGUGGAAACAUGUCAGUGAGCAAUCACCGCUGUGAAGGUGCUGCAUGGUUGUCGUCAGCUCGUGCCGUGAGGUGUCGGCUUAAGUGCCAUAACGAGCGCAACCCUUAUCUUUAGUUACUAACAGGUCAUGCUGAGGACUCUAGAGAGACUGCCGUCGUAAGAUGUGAGGAAGGUGG